GAGCAGACUAAAUACGAAAUGUUUAGAUAGGAUGAGAUGUCUCUGACAAACAUUAACCUACUUUAAUCGUUACAAUGCCUGUAGCGUCAAGUCAUUAUAGUGGAAUCAGCCAACAGAUGUGUCAACGUCGUCGAAUAAAGUACAUAAGAAACAAAUCAGCAAUUAAAAGUACAAUAACCUUAAACUAAGAAAAAGCCGAAUUCAAAAUAAGCCAAUUUCCUUUCUUCAUAAUGAUAAAAGAUAUUUUCCAAAAUGUAAACAAAAGAUCGCCGAGAAGUUUCGAUCAUGAAAAAAGUCAAACAGUCACGUA
This is a non-coding RNA of Schizosaccharomyces pombe (fission yeast), 310 nucleotides long. NCBI's taxonomy places the organism in Eukaryota, Fungi, Ascomycota, Schizosaccharomycetes, Schizosaccharomycetales, Schizosaccharomycetaceae. The record is from the annotation of a GenBank genome assembly.